AAUAAAGGACUUCUGAAUGACAUUCUUUACAAAAACCAAAAGCUGUGCAAACUGUUCAGCUAAUGUGUGAUGUGUGCCAUGUAGUAAGCAUGUUCCUCUUCAUUAUAAUUUUAUAUAAGUGAUUCCAUGAUCAGCAACAAACACAUGGAAAUACCUGAGGAGUAAAGAGGGACUGUUUUUGUUCUUUAAGCUUGGAUAACAUUGACUUCUUUAGCAAAACUACAGAAAGGAUCAAAAUUUUUUUCAUCUUCUCCAGUGCCAUGGUUUGGCUAGCUCUCUUCUUACUCAUACGCCUUCUCAGUUUUCAGGUGAAUACAAUUUUAGCUGCUCUCUUAUGGCAAGCUUUCUUCCGUUUGAUGCUGUGUUGUACAGGUACAGAUUUCUGACAGCUGCAAAACAUGCCUCAAAUGAUACAUGGAGUGUUGGUGGUACGUCAAGCAAAACCACUGAAAAUCCCCAGUGUUCAUGAAACUGUAUACAAGGAGACCCCUGAUGUCAUAACCCCCCUGGGUUCAUAAAAGAUAGCUUUGCAGGCCUGCAAGGAUAGCCUCCCUGUGGUUUUGGAGGUCUCAAAAAAUAAUCUCUGCUAUUAUUUUUAUAACAAGCAAAGUUUGCCUCUCUUUCCAAGUUUAUGAGCUUGACAACAUAAACGGAUAUAACACUUCACCACUGGGAUUGAUAUCUUGUCACAGUCUUUUCUUAAAUAGUAAUUUCCCCUGAAGAUAUUCUUGUCCCUUUUGGCGGUCUCCUGCGUUUCUCUUUUUGCAAUAUGUGAAAACAUUGGCUCCAGCUGGUCUCUUUUCUGGAAAGGCCUUAACACAGCUGGUGACUAUAAGGGGAAACGUCAUCUGAUGGCCACAGAAGAGCUUGAUGGCUGUUGCCAGCUUUGUGAUCUGUUGGGGUUUCUGCUGCUGGUCUGUGGAGAGAGGCUGCUUGCUCUUGUGAACUCUGCGUCUGCCUAGUGGACGUAUCCCUAGAGCAGGAACAUGGGUGUCUGCUGCCUUGUCCCAGCUGUGACAAACAUCUUCUUUGCAGCCUCAGAGCUCCCAAAGAUGCCUUGAAGAAUUUGCUGCAUUUCUGGGCCCACAGGGUGAUAUGGAGAACACCAGUUGGUAAUCACAGCUUUUUAAGCUGUCUGAAAGGAAAAUCCUUCCCAUAUCCUUUCCAGCAUUGGAUGGAAAUGCAAGGACCCAUUU
This 1196-nucleotide long non-coding RNA is filed under the name Struthio camelus australis. Its description in RNAcentral is "lncRNA (ENSSCUG00000014257.1)". The record is from RNAcentral. Lineage: Eukaryota; Metazoa; Chordata; Aves; Struthioniformes; Struthionidae.